Molecule: long non-coding RNA, 1533 nt
Filed under: Equus caballus (horse)
Lineage: Eukaryota; Metazoa; Chordata; Mammalia; Perissodactyla; Equidae
Description: lncRNA (ENSECAG00000055473.1)
Source: RNAcentral
GUAGUAUCCUGAAAAGAAUCACGUUUUUCCCCAAGCAUAUCUGUGUGGGAGCUUUAAACAAAAGUAAAAGCCUCAUUGCAAUCCCUCCCUCCAGCCACUCUAUUCGCUCCAUGGAACCUGCGUUGUGUGUGUCCUGAUUGAUGGUAUUUCUCCUUCUUUCCUUGGGAGACAUGAGUCCUUUCUGCUGCCAGUAGAGCUCCCAGUACAUUUGUUGGUUGUGUGAGCUUUCUGUUUAGAAAACAAACAAGUGCUGUAAAGUGUGCUAAAAUGGUCUUCCUUACUCCAUUGGCUUGAGCCACCCAACACUCUGCCAAAUUGCAGCUUAAACAUGAAAACAGAAGGCUUCAGUCCAGCAAUUCUUUUCUGAUGCUAUCUGAGAAGUAUACCCAAGAGACAGUGAGAAAACACAGGAUAUAAGAUUAAUUGAUGGCAUAUGAUCAUCUCGUCUCAGAAAGUCAAGUGGCUUCCAAAUGGAGAGAAUCCUUGAAAGGACACUGGAGGCAGUGUCUGAGUAGUUGUAUAGUUCAGGCUUGACAGAACUGCUUGCUGAAUUUAAUGCGUCCAUUGUGUCCACGUCAACAAUAAGGAAUCGGAGACGUUGUGCAUUUCCACAGUGGUUCAUCUGUUUUGGCUGAAACUCAGUUAAACAAUGGUUAACUCAAACUCUUUAUCUGAUUUACUUCUCAAUCAUUUUUUCCCGGACUUAGCUAGCUAUUUUAGCUGUAACUGGAGAAUUAGUUGUCUAAGCUGACUGAACCCAUUAAAGAGUAGGACUUUUUAACACUUAAAUUAAUUUAUUUGUUGUUGGUUCCUCUUUAUGUUUUAAUUUUAUUUUUAAUAAAAAUUGUACAUAUUUAGACAUUGAUAAUGACAUGUUCAGAGUGUUUUAAAAGAAGUUUCGAUGAAUUCUAAUUAUUUUGGAUAAUAACGAAUAUCAAUUUGUAGAAAUUACUUAAAAAUAUAUUUUCUAGCUCUGAUGAUGUGUCAAGAAUAUUUUGAAAGAGAAGUUUUUGAUAAAUUCUAAUUAUUUUGUAUCUAAUAAAUGAAUAUUUUUUGUGGAAAUGGUUUAAAAGUAUACAUUCAGUUCUCUGUGGCUACAAUACACUUGAUUUACAAACAAGAGAGUACUCAUAUGUUAAUAUUCACAUAUAAUGUAUGAAAGUUUAUGUGAAUUAUUGAAAUAUGAUACGUCUUUAAAUGAAUGUACUGUGCUCUCAAACUGGAACAAAGUAUUUGCAAAUGGAAUUAGUAUAAAAUGAUGAAAUUUUUUUGUAGACUAGUCAAGAAAUAAAUAUCAACAUCUUACAUUGUAAAAAUUUGAUCUAAAUAUUAUAAAUUUCAUCUAAAUACUUCAUAUUUGCUUCACAGGAAAUCUCUUUUGGAUUGGUUUCACACAUCAAUUCUAAAAUUUUAUACCUCUUCAAAUGUAACCUUUUUAAGGGAAAACAAUCAUUAAUAGGAGCAAAGAGAGCUUUAUGAAUAAAUGCUAAAAGAAGGUAGCUUCAAAAAUAAAGUAGCAUUUUAAAGACCAUA